Molecule: long non-coding RNA, 666 nt
Organism: Syngnathus acus (greater pipefish)
Lineage: Eukaryota; Metazoa; Chordata; Actinopteri; Syngnathiformes; Syngnathidae
Exons: 3
Source: RefSeq, a predicted model, not a curated record
AAGAGGGUGACGCAGACAGGCACCAGAUCAGCGAUUACAGUGCAGGGAGUGGUAGACGACUUGUUUCCAGUGCCAACCGGUUCAAACCAAGAUCUUAUGAGGAACUAAGCAUGAUGAUCCAUGGUAAUCCUCAAGCACUCUCCAACUUAACCCUGACUGACAAUGUUGACACCACUGAAGAGCGUUUGAUCAUUCAAGCCAAAACGAUGCCCUAUUUUAUCCUGCACGUGUCACUAGCUGCUGGCGGACUGACUGGACAAUCCAGAGCAAAGAUUCACUCUUGACGGGAAAAUGAUUCCACAGCGUCAAAGGAUUCCUGGCAUUCAGCACAUUUGUUGUCUUGCUUGAAGUGUUGCGUCAGUGGUGUACUUUCUACCUAACCUCUGCCACCUGUGUGCCAGCCACAAAGGGACCAGGCCACUUUCUCCACAUCCUACGCAAGACAUUCCAAACACUUUUUGCAUCAUGGAUCACACCGUGUGUCACAACAAUGCUAACAUGACUCGUGCCAACUGCACAAUCAUGCAAACAACAUCACACCAUAGGUAAUAACAUGUAUUAACCUUUGAGUUUCAAAGGUUAAAUCAUUACGAACACCUGCUCAUAAUGCUUUUCAGUCCAAGAGAUGUAAAAAUAACUCAUUAGUAGAAUGAAUUGAAAAUAAUG